This 467-nucleotide ribosomal RNA is filed under the name uncultured bacterium. RNAcentral describes it as "partial 16S ribosomal RNA". It matches the Rfam family "Bacterial small subunit ribosomal RNA", at positions 29 to 507 of the family's 1533-position model. The record is from RNAcentral.
ACGAACGCUUGCCGCGUGCUUCACCCCUGCCAGUCGCACGGAAAGGCCCUGCUUUUGUGGGGUGCUCGAGUGGCGAACGGGUGAGUAACACGUGAGUCACCUGCCCUUGACUUUGGGAUAACUUCAGGAAACUGGGGCUAAUACCGGAUAGGAGCUCCUGCUGCAUGGUGGGGGUUGGAAAGUUUCGGCGGUUGGGGAUGGACUCGCGGCUUAUCAGCUUGUUGGUGGGGUAGUGGCUUACCAAGGCUUUGACGGGUAGCCGGCCUGAGAGGGUGACCGGCCGCAUUGGGACUGAGAUACGGCCCAGACUCCUACGGGAGGCAGCAGUGGGGAAUAUUGCACAAUGGGCGGAAGCCUGAUGCAGCAACGCCGCGUGCGGGAUGACGGCCUUCGGGUUGUAAACCGCUUUCGCCUGUGACGAAGCGUGAGUGACGGUAAUGGGUAAAGAAGCACCGGCUAACUACGUG